Small nucleolar RNA from Vitis vinifera (wine grape), 76 nucleotides. It matches the Rfam family "Small nucleolar RNA SNORD18". Rfam says of the family: U18 is a member of the C/D class of snoRNA which contain the C (UGAUGA) and D (CUGA) box motifs. It is encoded in introns of ribosomal protein L1 in Xenopus and human, and in introns of elongation factor 1 beta in yeast. Related snoRNAs in Arabidopsis and rice have been named R63 and Z106 respectively. The record is from Rfam. NCBI's taxonomy places the organism in Eukaryota, Viridiplantae, Streptophyta, Magnoliopsida, Vitales, Vitaceae.
GAGAUAUGAUGAGUGCUUUUUUGGUCCGUGUUUCUGAUUUCACUGUGACCGAUAAACCAUACCAAACUCUGAUCUC